UACAGAGGGGGCAAGCGUUGUUCGGAAUUACUGGGCGUAAAGGGCGCGUAGGCGGCCCGCUAAGUCGAACGUGAAAUCCCCGAGCUCAACUCGGGAACUGCGUCCGAUACUGGCGGGCUUGAAUCCGGGAGAGGGAUGCGGAAUUCCUGGUGUAGCGGUGAAAUGCGCAGAUAUCAGGAGGAACACCGGUGGCGAAGGCGGAUCUCUGGGCCGUAACUGACGCUGAGGAGCGAAAGCAUGGGGAGCGAACAGG
This 253-nucleotide ribosomal RNA is filed under the name uncultured bacterium. RNAcentral describes it as "partial 16S ribosomal RNA". It matches the Rfam family "Bacterial small subunit ribosomal RNA", at positions 524 to 776 of the family's 1533-position model. The record is from RNAcentral.